RNAcentral lists this transfer RNA (84 nucleotides) under Patescibacteria group bacterium. Its description in RNAcentral is "tRNA-Leu". It matches the Rfam family "tRNA". Rfam says of the family: Transfer RNA (tRNA) molecules are approximately 80 nucleotides in length. The record is from RNAcentral.
GCCGCGGUGGUGGAAUGGUAGACACGGAGGCCUUAAGAGCCUUUGCCCUUAAAAAGCGUGAGAGUUCGACUCUCUCCCGCGGCA